RNAcentral lists this ribosomal RNA (388 nucleotides) under uncultured bacterium. Its description in RNAcentral is "bacterial SSU rRNA". It matches the Rfam family "Bacterial small subunit ribosomal RNA", at positions 28 to 417 of the family's 1533-position model. The record is from RNAcentral.
GACGAACGCUGGCGGCGUGCUUAACACAUGCAAGUCGAGCGGUAAGGCCCUUUCGGGGGUACACGAGCGGCGAACGGGUGAGUAACACGUGGGUGACCUGCCCUCAGCUCUGGGAUAAGCCUGGGAAACCGGGUCUAAUACCGGAUAUGACUCCAUGACGCAUGUUGUGGGGUGGAAAGCCUUGUGCGGCUGAGGAUGGGCCCGCGGCCUAUCAGCUUGUUGGUGGGGUGAUGGCCUACCAAGGCGACGACGGGUAGCCGGCCUGAGAGGGCGACCGGCCACACUGGGACUGAGACACGGCCCAGACUCCUACGGGAGGCAGCAGUUGGGAAUCUUGCGCAAUGGGCGAAAGCCUGACGCAGCGACGCCGCGUGAGGGAUGACGGCCU